RNAcentral lists this ribosomal RNA (465 nucleotides) under Vreelandella stevensii. RNAcentral's name for it is "partial 16S ribosomal RNA". It matches the Rfam family "Bacterial small subunit ribosomal RNA", at positions 338 to 795 of the family's 1533-position model. The record is from RNAcentral. Lineage: Bacteria; Pseudomonadati; Pseudomonadota; Gammaproteobacteria; Oceanospirillales; Halomonadaceae.
CCUACGGGUGGCUGCAGUGGGGAAUAUUGGACAAUGGGGGCAACCCUGAUCCAGCCAUGCCGCGUGUGUGAAGAAGGCCCUCGGGUUGUAAAGCACUUUCAGUGAGGAAGAACGCCUGGUGGUUAAUACCCAUCAGGAAAGACAUCACUCACAGAAGAAGCACCGGCUAACUCCGUGCCAGCAGCCGCGGUAAUACGGAGGGUGCGAGCGUUAAUCGGAAUUACUGGGCGUAAAGCGCGCGUAGGUGGCUUGGUAAGCCGGUUGUGAAAGCCCCGGGCUCAACCUGGGAACGGCAUCCGGAACUGUCAAGCUAGAGUGCAGGAGAGGAAGGUAGAAUUCCCGGUGUAGCGGUGAAAUGCGUAGAGAUCGGGAGGAAUACCAGUGGCGAAGGCGGCCUUCUGGACUGACACUGACACUGAGGUGCGAAAGCGUGGGUAGCAAACAGGAUUAGAUACCCCAGUAGUC